AGGCAGCAGUGAGGAAUAUUGGUCAAUGGACGCAAGUCUGAACCAGCCAUGUCGCGUGCAGGAUGACUGCCCUAUGGGUUGUAAACUGCUUUUGUACGGGAAGAAAAAUACUUACGUGUAAGUAUUUGCCGGUACCGUACGAAUAAGCAUCGGCUAACUCC
This 161-nucleotide ribosomal RNA is filed under the name uncultured bacterium. RNAcentral describes it as "partial 16S ribosomal RNA". It matches the Rfam family "Bacterial small subunit ribosomal RNA", at positions 346 to 504 of the family's 1533-position model. The record is from RNAcentral.